Molecule: long non-coding RNA, 846 nt
Organism: Varroa destructor (honeybee mite)
Lineage: Eukaryota; Metazoa; Arthropoda; Arachnida; Mesostigmata; Varroidae
Source: RefSeq, a predicted model, not a curated record
GUGUGACCUUCAGCGUUCGACUCGUUCUACGGGGCAGUCUUCGGCCACGCGUGCAUCGAUACGUGCGUAUAAAUCGCUUGCCAGUUAACGAUGGUCAGUUCAUAAGCAUUGGCUGUUGUAAUCGCGUAUGUUAUUCUAGUUACUGUACACUUCCAAGCGUACACACGUAGCUCAAGAGUUUGAAAAUAGAAGGAAUGUCAUGCUCAGCGUUUCGUCUCGCUAAAGCGGAAACGGCAUUAUCAGCAGCAACAUGGCGGCCAAAGCGGCCUAUAAUUACUAGACAUCUGAACUGUGUUUAUAUGCGAUCGGCUUCUCUGCUCGCCGGUCACAUUGCCCCAUUACUUUUAUCGCUCAACAAGCAGACGAUAACACAAACGAUUACCAACCAAGUUAAUCAGAUACAUAAGUCUGUGUACAUAAUCAAUAUGUUUUUUGACGAAGUCACAUCUGUUGUGUAAUAUACGUUAUAAGCGGGAUUUCACCUGUUUAAGAAUAUACAUCUACUUCAACGAUGGCAUAGUAAUUGUACCCCUCAUAAUACAUGCGGAACACGGUCCGGGAAGGACGGAUUCAGCUAAACGAUGGUGCUGACUGAAGUAAACAUGAGCAGUCAAACAGCUGGGUUCAACUCAUGUAAUCGUAUGCUGUUCACCAGACGUUGCUGGUGAACCGACUCCAUCUUCAGGCGAUUGCUAAUCAUCGUUAGUAUAUGUUAGUUAGAGAAUGGCUUGCACGUUAGGCGGCAUAAUAUAGACGUGCUGCCGAGUGACGUUCGAGGCAGACGAGUGCUACAGAACAGCGAUCGCUCUUUCCCUCAGGCCAGCGAACAAGUGGCGCCCCCGACGG